UACGUAGGGUGCAAGCGUUGUCCGGAAUUCUUGGGCGUAAAGAGCUCGUAGGCGGUCUGUCGCGUCGGCUGUGAAAACUCGGGGCUCAACUCCGAGCUUGCAGUCGAUACGGGCAGGCUAGAGUUCGGCAGGGGAGACUGGAAUUCCUGGUGUAGCGGUGAAAUGCGCAGAUAUCAGGAGGAACACCGGUGGCGGAGGCGGGUCUCUGGGCCGAUACUGACGCUGAGGAGCGAAAGCGUGGGGAGCGAACAGG
RNAcentral lists this ribosomal RNA (253 nucleotides) under uncultured bacterium. RNAcentral describes it as "partial 16S ribosomal RNA". It matches the Rfam family "Bacterial small subunit ribosomal RNA", at positions 524 to 776 of the family's 1533-position model. The record is from RNAcentral.